UCAGUCGACUCCUACGGGGAGGCAGCAGUGGGGGAAUAUUGCACAAUGGGCGCAAGCCUGAUGCAGCCAUGCCGCGUGUAUGAAGAAGGCCUUCGGGUUGUAAAGUACUUUCAGCAGUGAGGAAGGCAGGUACGUUAAUAGCGUGCUUGUUUGGCGUUAGCUGCAGAAGAAGCACCGGCUAACUCCGUGCCAGCAGCCGCGGUAAUACGGAGGGUGCGAGCGUUAAUCGGAAUUACUGGGCGUAAAGCGCAUGCAGGUGGUUUGUUAAGUCAGAUGUGAAAGCCCGGGGCGUCAACCUCGGAAUUGCAUUUGAAACUGGCAGACUAGAGUACUGUAGAGGGGGGUAGGAAUUUCAGGUGUAGCGGUGAAAAUGCGUAGAGAUCUGAAGGAAUACCGGUGGCGAAGGCGGCCCCCUGGACAAAGACUGACGCUCAGAUGCGAAAGCGUGGGGAGCAAACAGGAUUAGAUACCCUGGUAG
Molecule: ribosomal RNA, 478 nt
Filed under: uncultured bacterium
Lineage: Bacteria
Description: bacterial SSU rRNA
Rfam family: Bacterial small subunit ribosomal RNA
Source: RNAcentral